AACGCACGAGACCUGCGGACCUGCGGAAGGAUCAUUAAUGAGAAGCUGCCCCUCGUGGGUAGACCUCCCACCCUCUGUGAGCUUACCUUUGUUGCUUUGGCAGGCCCGUCCUCUGGACCGCCGGCUUCGGCUGGCCCGUGCCUGCCAGAGGAUUCCAAACCCUGUCUGUCAGUGUUGUCUGAGUCUAUAUGAAAUCGUUAAAACUUUCAACAACGGAUCUCUAGAUCGGAAGAGCACACG
RNAcentral lists this unclassified non-coding RNA (240 nucleotides) under soil metagenome. RNAcentral describes it as "partial contains 5.8S ribosomal RNA, internal transcribed spacer 2, and large subunit ribosomal RNA". The record is from RNAcentral.